Molecule: ribosomal RNA, 468 nt
Filed under: uncultured bacterium
Lineage: Bacteria
Description: partial 16S ribosomal RNA
Rfam family: Bacterial small subunit ribosomal RNA
Source: RNAcentral
GACGAACGCUGGCGGCGUGCUUAACACAUGCAAGUCGAACGGAAAGGCCCUGCUCUUGUGGGGUGCUCGAGUGGCGAACGGGUGAGUAACACGUGAGUAACCUGUCCUUGACUUUGGGAUAACUUCAGGAAACUGGGGCUCAUAUCGGAUAGGAGCUCUUGCUGCACGGUGGGGGAUGGAAAGUUUCGGCGGUUGGGGAUGGACUCGCGGCUUAUCAGCUUGUUGGUGGGGUUGUGGCUUACCAAGGCUUUGACGGGUAGCCGGCCUGAGAGGGUGACCGGCCACAUUGGGACUGAGGUACGGCACAGACUCCUACGGGAGGCAGCAGUGGGGAAUAUUGCAGAAUGGGCGGAAGCCUGAUGCAGCAACGCCGCGUGCGGGAUGACGGCCUUCGGGUUGUAAACCGCUUUCGCCUGUGACGAAGCGUGAGUGACGGUAAUGGGUAAAGAAGCACCGGCUAACUACGUG